CAUCAGGGAUGGAGGACUCUGACCGCGACGCCGCGUGCGGGAUGAAGGCCUUCGGGUUGUAAACCGCUUUCAGCAAGGAAGAAGCGAAAGUGACGGUACUUGCAGAAGAAGCACCGGCUAACUAUGUGCCAGCAGCCGCGGUAAUACAUAGGGUGCAAGCGUUGUCCGGAAUUAUUGGGCGUAAAGAGCUCGUAGGUGGUUCGUCACGUCGGAUGUGAAAAUCUGGGGCUUAACCCCAGACCUGCAUUCGAUACGGGCGAGCUAGAGUGUGGUAGGGGAGACUGGAAUUCCUGGUGUAGCGGUGGAAUGCGCAGAUAUCAGGAGGAACACCAAUGGCGAAGGCAGGUCUCUGGGCCAUUACUGACACUGAGGAGCGAAA
Molecule: ribosomal RNA, 379 nt
Filed under: uncultured bacterium
Lineage: Bacteria
Description: bacterial SSU rRNA
Rfam family: Bacterial small subunit ribosomal RNA
Source: RNAcentral